CACAUGACUCUCGGCAAUGGAUAUCUCGGCUCUCGCAUCGAUGAAGAGCGCAGCGAAAUGCGAUACGUGGUGCGAAUUGCAGAAUCCCGCGAAC
RNAcentral lists this ribosomal RNA (94 nucleotides) under Maxillaria matthewsii. RNAcentral describes it as "5.8S ribosomal RNA". It matches the Rfam family "5.8S ribosomal RNA", at positions 1 to 89 of the family's 154-position model. Rfam says of the family: 5.8S ribosomal RNA (5.8S rRNA) is a component of the large subunit of the eukaryotic ribosome. RNAcentral also lists the same sequence under 1 other name. Lineage: Eukaryota; Viridiplantae; Streptophyta; Magnoliopsida; Asparagales; Orchidaceae. The record is from RNAcentral.